Long non-coding RNA from Centropristis striata (black sea bass), 596 nucleotides. RefSeq lists it as uncharacterized. The transcript is spliced from 4 exons. Lineage: Eukaryota; Metazoa; Chordata; Actinopteri; Perciformes; Serranidae. The record is from RefSeq and is a predicted model, not a curated record.
ACGACGUCGGUCACGUGACGAACACAGGCGCGAAGUUGGUUGUUUGAGAAGAUUCAACGCUCCUGUACGUCAGGCCUUUGUGACGAAUAGCAGAGAUCAGGCUGGUUGAAGAGGUGACAGGUGCUGACUAAAGUUUGGAUGAACUCAAACGUGGAACAUGUCAUGCAGCUUGCACAGGUGCAAUAUAUGUCCAGACUCACAGCGCACCUCUUUUGGGUUUUGGCCAUUUUUGGAUUCUCCGUUAACCGUGGAGGGGCACAAGAAAAACAAAGUUUUCUUCAGGAAUAAAAGGUAAUACAGGAAUGUACCUGUGUUUGCAGUCUUCGUCCUUUGUCCUCUAGAAUCCAUGUGCCUUUUGAUAGUCUCAAGAACAAGGAAAGAGCUCUUCCUCACAAGGUCAAACGCUUAACUAUUACACUGUGCCAUCGAUGGCUGGUGACUUACAAAUCAUAAGUAUUGAUCAUGGCAGCGAUCAUACUGAAUGUAGGGCAGACAGUAAAAUCAUAUCCACUUAGGCUUAAUAGCCUACAUUAAAGCAAUUAUGCACACAAACUAGGACUGUACGCAUAUUAUGCUGGUCCAUAUAUCUUUUUUUU